CCUACGGGAUGCACCAGGGGGGAAUUUUCCGCAAUGGGCGAAAGCCUGACGGAGCAAUGCCGCGUGGAGGUGGAAGGCCUACGGGCCGUGAACUUCUUUCCCCGGAGAAGAAGCAAUGACGGUAGCGGGGGAAUAAGCAUCGGCUAACUCUGUGCCAGCAGCCGCGGGAAUACAGAGGAUGCAAGCGUUAUCCGGAAUGAUUGGGCGUAAAGCGUCUGUAGGUGGCUUUUUAAGUCCGCCGUCAAAUCCCAGGGCUCAACCCUGGACAGGCGGUGGAAACUACCAAGCUGGAGUACGGUAGGGGCAGAGGGAAUUUCCGGUGGAGCGGUGAAAUGCGUAGAGAUCGGAAAGGACACCAACGGCGAAAGCACUCUGCUGGGCCGACACUGACACUGAGAGACGAAAGCUAGGGGAGCGAAUGGGAUUAGAUACCCCUGUAGUC
Molecule: ribosomal RNA, 442 nt
Filed under: uncultured bacterium
Lineage: Bacteria
Description: bacterial SSU rRNA
Rfam family: Bacterial small subunit ribosomal RNA
Source: RNAcentral